GGACUACCGGGGUUUCUAAUCCCGUUCGCUCCCCUGGCUUUCGCGCCUCAGCGUCAGAUGAGGUCCAGCGGCCCGCUUUCGCCACCGGCGUUCCUUCCGAUAUCUACGCAUUUCACCGCUCCACCGGAAGUUCCGGCCGCCCCUACCUCCCUCGAGCAUACCAGUAUCCAAGGCACUUUUCCGGUUGAGCCGAAAGCUUUCACCCCGGACUUGGUAUGCCGCCUACGCGCCCUUUAAGCCCAGUGAUUCCGAACAACGUUCGCACGGUUCGUCUUACCGCGGCUGCUGGCAC
This 292-nucleotide ribosomal RNA is filed under the name uncultured Planctomycetota bacterium. Its description in RNAcentral is "uncultured planctomycete partial 16S ribosomal RNA". Lineage: Bacteria; Pseudomonadati; Planctomycetota. The record is from RNAcentral.